CCCUUAGAUGUUCUGGGCCGCACACGCGCUACACUGAAGGAGGCAGCGUGUACUCCUGGAUCGAAAGAUUUGGGUAACCCGCGAAUCUCCUUCGUGCUAGGGAUUGAGGUUUGCAAUUAUCCUUCAUGAACAAGGAAUUCCCAGUAAGUGCAAGUCAUAAGCUUGCGCUGACUACGUCCCUGCCCUUUGUACACACCGCCCGUCGCUACUACCGAUUGAAUGAUUUAGUGAGGACUUCGGACUGGGACCGAUGCGGCUUUCGGGCUGCGUCGGUAUUCUGGAAAGAUGUCCAAACUGUAUCAUUUAGAGGAAGUAAAAGUCGUANCA
This 327-nucleotide ribosomal RNA is filed under the name uncultured eukaryote. Its description in RNAcentral is "partial 18S ribosomal RNA". It matches the Rfam family "Eukaryotic small subunit ribosomal RNA", at positions 1470 to 1796 of the family's 1831-position model. The record is from RNAcentral.